UAGAGUUUGAUCAUGGCUCAGGACGAACGCUGGCGGCGUGCUUAACAUAUGCAAGUCGAGCGGUAAGGCCCUUCGGGGUACACGAGCGGCGAACGGGUGAGUAACACGUGGGUGAUCUGCCUUGCACUCUGGGAUAAGCCUGGGAAACUGGGUCUAAUACCGGAUAUGACCUGCAGUUGCAUGACUGUGGGUGGAAAGGUUUAUCGGUGCAAGAUGAGCCCGCGGCCUAUCAGCUUGUUGGUGGGGUAAUGGCCUACCAAGGCGACGACGGGUAGCCGGCCUGAGAGGGCGACCGGCCACACUGGGACUGAGACACGGCCCAGACUCCUACGGGAGGCAGCAGUGGGGAAUAUUGCACAAUGGGCGAAAGCCUGAUGCAGCGACGCCGCGUGAGGGAUGACGGCCUUCGGGUUGUAAACCUCUUUCGACUCCGACGAAGCGAAAGUGACGGUAGGAGUAUAAGAAGCACCGGCCAACUACGUGCCAGCAGCCGCGGUAAU
Molecule: ribosomal RNA, 500 nt
Filed under: uncultured Alphaproteobacteria bacterium
Lineage: Bacteria; Pseudomonadati; Pseudomonadota; Alphaproteobacteria
Description: bacterial SSU rRNA
Rfam family: Bacterial small subunit ribosomal RNA
Source: RNAcentral